UAGUCACGCACACCCCACAACCACUAUAGCCCGUCUCUUCACAACCUUCACUUAAAGAUCUCGAUACUAGUUCCAGCAGCAGGUAUCAUACCUCUUCUCCACCCGUCCCGUCUCUCCUUACGCCGCACGGAACCAAGCACAGAGCGCAGACAGCACAACGACACGGCAAAAAAAAAGACGUAAACCAACAGCGACCAGAAGCAUCAGUGUCAUGUCUGUGUUCGGCGUCGAUUUCGGCAACGUCAACUCCACGGUGGCCAUCACCCGCUACGGCGGGGUGGACAUCGUGACAAACGAGGUCAGCAAGCGCGAGACGACCACCAUUGUUUCUUUCCUCGACGAUGAGCGGUUUAUCGGUGAGCAGGGGCUGGACCGCUACGUCCGCAAUGCUCAGAACACCGUCUUUUUCCUCAAGCGCUUCAUCGGCAUGCGCAUGGACGACCCCCAGCUCUCUCGGGAACUCAAGUUCCUGACGUGCAACAUCAUUGGCGACAAAUGUGGACGGCUUAUGUUUAGCGUCAACUACUGCGGCGAGGAGAAGCACUUCUACCCGGAGCAGGUGCUGGCCAUGAUGCUGCAGCGGCUGCGCAGCUACGUCAACGAGGCUGCCACGACGGACCCACGCGUGAAGGCAGACGUGCGCGACUUCGUGAUUACCGUGCCGUGCUACUACACCGCGGAGCAGCGCCGCCUCAUGUACCAGGCGGCUGAGGUGGCGGGACUGCACUGCAUGUCCCUCAUCAACGAGACAACUGCGUCAGCGGUGGACUACGGCAUUUUCCGCGGCGCCUCGCUGAAGGAGACGAUGGAGGAGGGGCAGGUGGUCGGCAUUCUCGACAUCGGAUAUGGCGCCACGGUUUUCUCCGUGUGCAAGUUCUGGCGCGGCAACUGCAAAAUCCUCGCCCGCACCUUCGACCGUAACACUGGCACUCGUGACUGCGACUACCUGCUCUACGAGCACAUGCUGAAUGAAGUGAAGUCCCGCUACAAUGUCGACGUCUCGCAGAACAAGCGCGCUCGCUUGCGCCUGCUGCAGGCGUGCGAGCGGCUCAAAUACCUCCUGUCUGCGAACCAAUCGGCGCCGCUGAACGUCGAGAACUUGAUGGACAUCGACGUCAGCAUUCCAGUCUUCGAGCGUGCCACCAUGGAGUCGCUCUGCCAGGAUGUUCUCCACUCCAUCAAGUCCGUGAUCGAGCGCGGCUUUGCCGAGGCGGGCGUCAGCCGCGAUGACUUCCACUCCAUUGAGAUGAUCGGCGGUGGCUGCCGUAUUCCGAUGAUGAAGAGGCUGGUGGAGGAGGUGCUGGGCCGCGGGCCCAGCUUCACUUUGAACGCGUCUGAGUCUACGGCACGCGGGUGCGCGAUUGUGGCGGCCAUGCUCUCGCCGAAGUUCCAGGUGCGCGAGUUCAAGGUAUCGGAGCUGCCAACGUACCCGAUUUUGCUGGGCUACCACGCCGAGAACCCACGCUCCCCCAGCUCCGUGCCUUUCCUGCCGCAGGUGAACAAGGUCGUGAAGCUGCUGGGGGCGGCAGACAGCUACCCGAAGAAGCUGGACGUGCGCUUCCCGUGCUCGAGUGCGCCGAAGAUCUACGCCUUCUACGAUUACGAAAACGAGGGGGUUAAGGAGAUUGUGCAGCCGUGCAACUACAUCAUUGGUGAGUGGGAGAUGGGCUUGCCUUCUAAGGCGAAGGGUGCGGUGAACGAGAUGCGCGUCCGUAUCUGCAUCCAGCCAGAUGGUGUGGUGGAGUUGGAGAAGGCAGAGGCGAUCGACGUGUACGAGGUCGAGGAGGCGCCGGACGCUACCCCUGCCGCCGCGAACGGCGAGGGCCCGGGGAAGGAGAACGAGGAGGCGCUGGCCGAGCCGCCCAAGCCGUCCAAGCCGGUCAAGAAGACGAAGGAGGCUGCGAUUGUCGUGUCAGUGAAGCCAAACGUGGAGAUCCUUGGACACAGCGGCGAGUCUGUGCUGCUUUUCCGCAAGGCCGAGUCGGAAAUGUACGAGCGCGACUCCCGCAUCGUUCGCACGCGCAUAAAGAAGAACGAGCUGGAAAGCUACAUUCUCGACUUUCGCCCUCGUCUCUCGUCGGGUGGUAUGCUGAUCGAGUACGCCGCGCCGGAUGCGGCCGCCAACUUUGUGCGCCAGUGCGAUGAGGAUGAGCAGUGGCUCUACGAAGACGGCGAGUUUUCCACAUUCGAGGAGUACGAGCGCCGCGUACAGACGCUGCGUGCCAUCGGCGACGCCGCGUACAACCGCCUUCGCACGCGCGAGGAGGUCGAGUUCGCGGCGAAGGGUAUCCACACUCGCAUUAUGGCUGCCAAACAGAAGGCGCUCGACUUCAUUGGUAAGAAGGAGCACAUCACCGAGGAGGAGCUGAAAGAGGCUGCGGCCACGGCCGAGCAGGCGAAGGCGUGGGUGGACCAACAGGUUGCGGCGAUGCUGGCGGCUCCCAAGACGCAGGACACGACGCUGUCGAAAGCGGACCUCGAGAAGAAGGCGUCGGAGGUGGAGCAUGGCAUCAACAAAGUCAUGUCGAAGCCGGCCCCGCCGAAGCCAAAGGAGAGCAAGGAGCCGGAGAAUGCUGAGGAGGAUCUGGCAGCUGAGGCGGCGGCGGGUGCGGAGGCCGAGCCCCAACAUCAGGCUUCUGAUGAAGUGCCUGCGCCGACGAACGCACCGGAGCUCGAUUAAGCGAUAAGGGGGGGGGUGGUGUCGACAGGGGAGGGAGGGUGGAAGGCCAGAUGUGUGAUGGCAGGGGUGCCGCCUGCGUGGGUGCGCAUGCCCGUCGCACUUCACUACGCACGUUGUCCUCUGCCCGCCUCAUCCUUUCCCUCCUCUCCUUGACAUCCCUCUGCCGUUUUUCUAUCACGGCGGCACGCAUGCGAGCACACGCGAAAUCUUUCCCCGCUCGGACACGCACAUGCAUUCACUCGCCGUAUUCUUGGGGUUCUCUUUCUUUCUCCUUUGUGUUUUUUUUUGUUUUCUCGUAUUGCCGCUUCUCUUUCUAUUAUUAUUUCGUGUCGUGUGCGUGUGCGUGCGUGUCUGUGUGUGUGUGCGCGUGUCUUGGUGUAUUCGAGCCCUGCCCCGUCUUUAUCAAACACCUUAGCGGCUGUCCGUUCGUCUUUUUCCUUCCCUUUUCUCAUGUUGCCCCCUCCUUUUUUAGCUUCCUUCUGAUUGUGCAGAUGCUUUCUGUUUCUAUACCUCCACCCAUCCCCCACCCUCUCUUCCGCCGCUCUUCGAUAUGUGCUGCUGCUGCUAUGUGUGUGUGUGUGUGUGGAGGCGGUGGGGGUGGGGUGUGACGGUGCGAAGAAGGGAAGACGAGCCCAUGACGCAUGAGGAGGGGAGCCGUGGGCGGGAGCGGGUUAUCGGGGCUGUUAUCGUGGGCGUUGUUCUCCUUGCAAUUUAGUUUGGACGAGCGUGCGUGGGUGUGGAGGAAUGGGAGAGAGCUGCUUAAUGCGGACGCGCGUGGGAGCCGAUUCUUGUGCCCCCCACCCCUCCCUAUUGAGCACUCUUAUAAUUCUUUUUAUGCUUGGUUAUGCGCGAAUGCGUACUCGAGCUUUACACAUGCGCGCUUGCGCGCAGGACACGGUUACCGGAUUACGUCAGUGAGGCACUAGUUUGGUGCGUGCGCAAUAAUGCAUCUCUAUGUGUGCUUGUGUGUGUGCAUGUACACCCCCUUUCCCCAUGUCAACUCUGCACCGCCGCGCGUCUCGCGGUCACUCUCCAUGGAACAGGCACCGCGUCCCCCUCACUCGCUCCCGUGUGUGUUUCUCGUCUCUGCUGGGAGAGGCGGCACACGCUCGCGUAUUCGAUGCUACACGCCUUUCUCCUUUCCGUUUGCUCUCUCACCUUCUUGGGAGGCACCCCUCUUUGUUUGCCCCCCCCCCCCCCCCCCCCCCCCCACUCCCGUUGCUGGUGUGUGCGCGUGCGUGUGCGCCCUCUUUUUCUCUUGCGAGAUGAUCUCUCUGUCACACACACACACACACACACACACGUUUUUCGGGUUGGCUCUAAAGUGUCAUGUGCUCCCCUCUUUGAUAUCUUCUGUUGGUCUCUUUUUUUUGUUCUGCCUGCCCGCCCUUUUUUUUUGUGUGCGUGUGUGUGUGCCUGAUAAAUGGGGGGUGGGGUGGGGGGUGGGGAACAGACACAUGCCUGUGCCCGCGUACGACGCGGAUGAUGAUGACUCCACUCAGUGUCUCCUCUGAAGCGCCGCUCUCUGCCCUCGCCUUGUUUGUUGUCCAGAAGAAAAAGAGACGAUGUUUUCUGCCCCCCCCCCCCCCCCCCCCCCCAUUUAUCAGACACAAAGGCAAGGAGAAAAAAGGAUCUCAUAACACAUGUCUAUCUAUCUAUAGAUGGAGAUCGAUAUAGAAUUAACGAGAGAAAGCGACACACACAGAGAGAGAGAGAGAGACAAAACAUAAGCAUAUACACAGAUACUCACCCACACCCACCCACCCACACGCACGCACACACGCAACGAUAUCCAGCGAAAUGGCUGUGUGGGUUUUUGUGUUCCGUUUGGUCAGUGAGACGCUCCGUGUUAUUUCGCCCCGCCUCUCUCUCUCCUCUCCUUUUUUUCUUUCGAACCUCUGAGUGGUGAUGACAAGGCGCGAGUUUGUACCCCGUUUUUCGUUAUUGGUGGAAUGCAUGUGCGUGUGUAUGUGCGUCGGCAUGCAUCUGUAUCCGCAUCUCCAAGGCUCCGCUACAUGGUUUGCAUUUUCGGCAUGCUUUCCAAAGCUGAUCUUCAGCCUAGAGGACGCGAAUGGAAGCGAGGCCAACGGAGUCGAUAAGGUGUGUGGUGACGUUGGGGAGUAGUGUGUGUGUGUGGGAAGGGGGACUGAUAGAGAUGGCGCUGGCUGCGGCACUCUUCAAGAGCCACGCUGAUGAACGCACCCAACACACCCAACACACAUACACAUGCACAUACAUGCGUACGAGAGAAGAGAGCACGG
Molecule: unclassified non-coding RNA, 4941 nt
Filed under: Leishmania donovani
Lineage: Eukaryota; Euglenozoa; Kinetoplastea; Trypanosomatida; Trypanosomatidae
Description: gene:LdHU3.18.1720(CDS-product:heat_shock_protein _110_putative)
Source: RNAcentral